RNAcentral lists this unclassified non-coding RNA (2748 nucleotides) under Portunus trituberculatus (swimming crab). Its description in RNAcentral is "thiamine transporter 1-like, transcript variant X1". The record is from RNAcentral. Lineage: Eukaryota; Metazoa; Arthropoda; Malacostraca; Decapoda; Portunidae.
AGACGACGCGGCGAGGCACUGCAGGACGCGGCACGGCAAGGCUAGAGGUAGUGUUGUGGUGGUGACGGUGGUGAAGGUGGCUGGGUGAGCCUUGAUCGUGAACACCCACGUGGCCCCUACACGCCAUGACAAGACCAACGUGACGCAGAUAACGGGCAGUGUCCACCGGCCCUCAACAGUGCACCAGCUCUGCCUGCAGCCCAGCCCCUGACAAGCCUUGGGUCUCUGUGUGCUGCAGCCCCUCACCAUGGACACAUGGUUCAGGACUUGCCUGCUGCUCUGCCUCUAUGGGUUCUUCAAGGAGCUACGUCCCUCAGAGCCCUUCCUGACGGAGUACCUGAAGCAGCCACCCAUGAACCUGACGGAUGAUCAGGUGACAUAUGAGGUGUACCCGGUAUGGACCUACUCCUACCUGUCCCUGCUGGUGGUGGUGUUCCUGCUGACAGACCUGCUGCGCUACAAGCUGGUCAUUGUGGCGGAGGGCAUUGGCUAUGUGGUCACCUGGUCACUGUUGCUGUGGGCACGAGGGGUGCCUGCCAUGCAGCUCAUGGAGUUCAUGUAUGGUGUCGCCACCUCCACUGAGGUUGCUUACUAUACCUACAUCUAUGCCAAGGUGGCUGGCAAGUUCUACCAGCGGGUCACUAGCUACACCCGUGCUGCACUUCUCUCUGGCAGGUUCCUCUCUGCUGUGCUGAGUCAGGUACUGACUCACACUGCCCUCAUGAGUUACCACGACCUCAACUACGUGUCACUGGCCAGUGUGAGUGUGGCGUUCAUCCUGGCCUGCCUGCUGCCCUCCGUCUCCACCAGCGUCUACUUCCACCGCCAGCAGUACUACGUCCCCACCAGUGAGGGCAGCAGCUCCAUCCAGCUCAGCCCAACACAGCAGUGGCAGGGAGACGACAGUGGGGGUGGCGGUGGUGGUGGUAGUGUUGCUGUUGUUGCUACUACUGCUGGUGGUACUGGUAGUGGUGCUGGUGAAUCAUGGAUAGUUAAGUUUAAUAAGGUGCUGAUGCUGAUGUGGGACGACUUCCAAGUGGCCUACAGCAACAAGUACCUGCUGAAGUGGUCGGUGUGGUGGGCCUUUGCCACCUGUGGGAACUUCCAGGUGGGGAACUACAUCCAGCCGCUGUGGGAGCAAGUGCAGCCCGUGGAGGAGGGCGAGACACUGUACAACGGUGCUGUGGAAGCCAUCCAGACCCUGCUGAGUGCUCUGUCGGCCUUUGGAGUGGGGUACGUGCAUCUGAACUGGGAGCUGCUGGGGGAGGGCACACUGGCGGUGAUCUCCAUCCUGGACGGGGUGUUGCUGAUGACGAUGGGCCUCAGCUACAACAUUAUAGUCACGUAUACCAACUACAUCAUCUUCCGCGUCUCCUACCAAGUCCUCAUCACUAUUGCCAGCUACCAGGUGGCUAAGAGUCUGCGAGAGGACAGCUACGGCCUGGUGUUUGGGAUCAAUAUGUUCAUGUCGCUUCUCCUGCAAUCACUCCUCACAUUAAUUGUGGUACAGGUGCUGCAUCUCUCGGUACACACUCAGUUCAUCGUGUAUGGCGUUUACUUCCUUUUACUGGCGAUGGUAUUCCUGGCGCUCUCCACAUACUCCCUGAGCAGCAUGGGAUGUGCAGGGAUACGGGAGGCUGGCGUGUGGGAGCAGCCUAUUGGAUCCCCUCAGGAGGCGCCGCUGGGGUGUGCUGAGUCUGUCUGAGUGUCUGAGUGGGCGAGAGUACAGGUUGUAUUCUGAAACUCUUCUCCGACUCACCCUUACUAAAUCAAAAGGCUCUCUGUAUAUUGAAAGUUACAUGUUUUUAAUGAUGUCUUUAUAGUUCUAGUGAUGGACUGACAAUAUUUUCACAUUACAGUAUUAAAAGGAGAAACACUCUAGUUAUCUCGAUGAUCUUUGAAAAUUAUUGUAUUGAAGUUAUACUGGAUUUUAAUUGUUUUUACUUCUUCUGGCAGAUUGACAAAAUUUUUGUAUUAUUGGUAGGAGAAAUACUCUUGAGAACCUGGCUAAUCAAUCUCUGUGGCCUUUGAAAAUAGCCAUGGUAAAGCUGCACUGUUUUUUUUUAUUAUCUUUUUAUGGAUCUAGUGACAGAUUGACAAGACCUUUAUACUAUUGGCAGGAGAAACACUCUUGAGAACCUGUGUCUUUUGGAAACAUUCAUGGUGAGAGAGUAAGGUUUCCAGAAUAUAGGCCUUUGUGUGUGUGUGUGUGAGUGUGUUGAUGCACUUAUGGACUCAAGUAAUCAGGGAACACAGAUAGGCUGGACUGCAAUGCUGGUAUUAUAUGAACUGCUUUCCUAUCCAUGCAUUUAUCACUAGAAUUACUGGUUGUUGGACUCAGUUAGAUGGGAGCUUUGCUAAUCACAGGAUCUGAACUGACACAGCAAGGCACAUGGGCUGAGUACUGCUGGUAAUAGUGAACACAAUUUGUAACACACACCUCAAUUUGAACAAUGAUCUGCUAUUCCACGUGGUUGUGUUGUUGUGGAGGAAAGGUGGUGGUCAUGUUACAGCUCUUGUUAACUGUUAAAUGUGGAUGGAUCAAGAAAAUGUUAGUCUAUCAAUGUUUACAAUUGUUAUUUGUUAUGCAUAUACUAUUUAUUUGUUAUUUUUUCAUAAUUUACUUGUGAUUAUGAGUGGAGCCUUGUAAUUACUGGUGAUGUGUGUGUGUGUGUGUGUGUGUGUCUGUGUGUGUGUGUGUGUGUGUGUGUGUGUGUGUGUGUGUGUGUGUGUGUGUGUGUGUGUGUG